UGAAACAAUGAUUGUGUGUGUGUGUGUGUGUGUGUGUGUGUGUGUGUGUGUGUGUGUGUGUGUGUGUGUGUGUGUGUGUGUGUGUGCAUGCAUGCAUGUUUGUGUUUACAAAUGUUUUAAUGAAGGUUGAGGUUGGUUAAUAAAACCACAGUGCACAGAAUGUUCACUUAUAGAAAUAAAAACACAUGUCAGUGGGCAGUUUUUUUAAGACUCUAAUUAGUAAGAAAAAACUUAACAUAACAUAACAUCUCCUGCCGUUUAGGAGACCAAAGCAUGGUUGUUAUAUAUUCUGUAAAGCUAAUUACACCUCAUUGCUGCUGAAUUCUCUGGAUUGUUUUGCAGACAUUUCACAACAUUCAAUGUACCUGUAAAUGGAUAAAAAGUGGCAUAACAGGAAUAAAACACUUGGGCACAUGCUAUUGGAAUAUAUUCAGUUCCACAGUAGAUAAAGUAGAACCGGCAGAGUACAGGUGAUCAGAUUAGGGUGAACAACAAGGCUGCUGGAUUGUGUUGUUCUAGGAGACAUGACAGUUUUGUUAGGACCUGCUGUAGUGUUGUAGUAUUGUGAUAUUGUAGCAGAUGUAGCUGACUCAGUCACCAUGGUAACGUAUGUUCCCAUUGUAGUCGUGUUGUCCGUGGAAGUCACAGACGUUGGCCUCCAUGGAUUCACAGUGGUGCCAUUUGGUGUCAUCAUUGUGAUGGGGUCAUUUGCAGGUAUUGUGAUGGUUGAUAGCAUCACAUGAGUGGCAUUUACUGGCAGUGAGGUGGUAGAUGCUCUACGUGAAGUCAUCACUGUGGUGGUAGCGUUUAAAGGUACUGUAGAUGUUCUACGUGAAGUCAUCACUAAGGUGGUAGCAUUUAAAGGUACUGUAGAUGUUCUACGUGAAGUCAUCACUGUGGUGGUAGCAUUUAAAGGUCCUGUAGAUGUUCUAUGUGAAGUCAUCACUAUGGUGGUAGUGUUUAAAGGUAUUGUAGAUGUUCUACGUGAAGUCAUCACUGUGGUGGUAGCAUUUAAAGGUACUGUAGAUGUUCUACGUGAAGUCAUCACUGUGGUGGUAGCAUUUAAAGGUCCUGUAGAUGUUCUACGUGAAGUCAUCACUGUGGUGGUAGUGUUUAAAGGUACUGUAGAUGUUCUAUGUGAAGGCAUCACUGUGAUGGUAGUGUAUAAAGGUAUUGUAGAUGCUCUAUUUGAAGACAUUACAGGGGUGGCAUUUAGAGGUCUUAUGGUAGUGGUGACAUUCUUCACCAUUGGUCUUGUGGUGUUGUUUGAUGGAAAGAAAGUGGUGGCAUUUGAAGGCAUCUUUGUGAUUCUAGCAUUUGAAGGAACUGUAGAGGUAAGAUUCAUUAGUAUUGGAGUGGAGUUGUUCGAUGACAUCAAAAUGGUGGUAUUGGGUGGCAUCACUGUGAUUGUAGUAUUCAAGGUUAUCGUAGAUGUUCUAUUUGAAGAUGUCACAGUGAGGUUUAUAGGAACUGUAGUGGUGACACUCAUUACCCUUGGAGGGGUGUGGUUGUUUGGUGUCAUUGGGGUUGCAGUUGAUUGAGUUAUGUUAUUUGUGGUGCUGGUUUGUGAUGGCAUCAACAAGGUGGUGUUCAUUGGUCUUAUGAUUGUUCCAUUAGUCGUUGUGGAAUGGGUUGUUGCCUUUGUAGUUGAAAAGGUCUUUGUGUUUGUUACCUG
Molecule: long non-coding RNA, 1675 nt
Organism: Ictalurus punctatus (channel catfish)
Lineage: Eukaryota; Metazoa; Chordata; Actinopteri; Siluriformes; Ictaluridae
Source: Ensembl